GGUGAUCUGCCUCGCACUUCGGGAUAAGCCUGGGAAACUGGGUCUAAUACCGGAUAUGACCAUGGAAUGCAUGUUUUGUGGUGGAAAGAUUUAUCGGUGCGAGAUGGGCCCGCGGCCUAUCAGCUUGUUGGCGGGGUAACGGCCCACCAAGGCGACGACGGGUAGCCGACCUGAGAGGGUGACCGGCCACACUGGGACUGAGACACGGCCCAGACUCCUACGGGAGGCAGCAGUGGGGAAUAUUGCACAAUGGGCGAAAGCCUGAUGCAGCGACGCCGCGUGAGGGAUGACGGCCUUCGGGUUGUAAACCUCUUUCGACAGGGACGAAGCGAAAGUGACGGUACCUGUAGAAGAAGCACCGGCCAACUACGUGCCAGCAGCCGCGGUAAUACGUAGGGUGCGAGCGUUGUCCGGAAUUACUGGGCGUAAAGAGCUUG
This 437-nucleotide ribosomal RNA is filed under the name Nocardia iowensis. Its description in RNAcentral is "bacterial SSU rRNA". It matches the Rfam family "Bacterial small subunit ribosomal RNA", at positions 120 to 571 of the family's 1533-position model. Lineage: Bacteria; Bacillati; Actinomycetota; Actinomycetes; Mycobacteriales; Nocardiaceae. The record is from RNAcentral.